Molecule: transfer RNA, 74 nt
Filed under: Bacillus toyonensis
Lineage: Bacteria; Bacillati; Bacillota; Bacilli; Caryophanales; Bacillaceae
Description: tRNA-Met
Rfam family: tRNA
About the family: Transfer RNA (tRNA) molecules are approximately 80 nucleotides in length. Their secondary structure includes four short double-helical elements and three loops (D, anti-codon, and T loops).
Source: RNAcentral
GGACCUUUAGCUCAGUUGGUCAGACCAGACGGCUCAUACCCGUCCGGUCAUAGGUUCAAAUCCUAUAAGGUCCA